UGUCCACAGACCUAUCUUUACACUACAGUAUCUUGCCCGUACGAAGGACGGGCCAUGGAUCCUAAUGUUUCAUAAAGUAGGCGUUUUAGGGUGCGCGUUGUAUCAUAGAGGCUAGAAGAAUACGCACCCCAUUUAGGUGGGGGUGCCUAUUGUACCAUUGAUCCCCUUUGAGCUCUGCCUUGUAGAUUUAGCGGUUUUGCGAAGGUGCUAUUCAACAGAAACGUCUGCAGAAGGAGCGGGAAGGAUCAAAUCGCACCGACAGUUGGCAAGAAUAGCAAAAGCUUCGUCGUUCCGCUGUUCUUGGAGUGUUUUCAGUCGGUGAGUAGAGAUUGCAGAGUUGAUGUACGCACUGCUGACCGGCUCUAGCCCUCCUCAGCAACAGAAUUCAAAGGAAUAUAGAGCACAAAACCGGCUUUUCUAAAAGCCACAGAAGACGUCAGAGAGGACAUAACCGGAAAAAACCCAGUUACUGUAGCUUAGAUAUUGUCUUAGAGAGCAUAACUAAAGAAAAAUGCAGUUACUGUAGCUCUA
Molecule: long non-coding RNA, 531 nt
Organism: Corticium candelabrum
Lineage: Eukaryota; Metazoa; Porifera; Homoscleromorpha; Homosclerophorida; Plakinidae
Exons: 2
Source: RefSeq, a predicted model, not a curated record